This 515-nucleotide ribosomal RNA is filed under the name uncultured bacterium. RNAcentral describes it as "bacterial SSU rRNA". It matches the Rfam family "Bacterial small subunit ribosomal RNA", at positions 8 to 518 of the family's 1533-position model. The record is from RNAcentral.
AGAGUUUGAUCAUGGCUCAGGAUGAACGCUGGCGGCGUGCCUAACACAUGCAAGUCGAACGGGUUAAGGGAAAUUUCGGAUGGAACUUAACUUAGUGGCGGACGGGUGAGUAACGCGUGGAUAACCUGCCUCACACUGGGGGAUAGCAGCUGGAAACGGCUGGUAAUACCGCAUAAGACCCCGGUGCCGCAUGGCACCGAGGUAAAAGAUUUAUCGGUGUGAGAUGGAUCCGCGUCUGAUUAGCCAGUUGGCGGGGUAACGGCCCACCAAAGCGACGAUCAGUAGCCGGCCUGAGAGGGUGAACGGCCACAUUGGGACUGAGACACGGCCCAAACUCCUACGGGAGGCAGCAGUGGGGAAUAUUGCACAAUGGGCGCAAGCCUGAUGCAGCCAACGCCGCGUGAGUGAAGAAGUAUUUCGGUAUGUAAAGCUCUAUCGGCAGGGAAGAAAGGCCCUUUAAGGGAGAUGACGGUACCUGACUAAGAAGCCCCGGCUAACUACGUGCCAGCAGCCGC